CAUUGUACGGACACAAUCAUCAAUAGGAUGUUGAUGACUAAGGAUAGACAAUGGACCCCUCAUAGGAUUGAGGCAGGACAGCAUCAGGACGAUGCAAUGGACACCGCUCAAGGAACAAGUGAAGUGCGCUAACGGGGAAUGUUGGCUAUCAGGAUUGAUAAGGACACCGCUAGGACGGCGACGAAGGACAGUACUGAUGGAUUCAGUCACUAUUAUGGAUGAUGCAUGGAGCAUUAUUUAGUAGCCGGACUGCUGCGAGUAAGAUCAUGACCCCGAUACUUUUGUGUCGGGGUUUUUCUUAUUU
This is a non-coding RNA of Vibrio sp. EJY3, 304 nucleotides long. NCBI's taxonomy places the organism in Bacteria, Pseudomonadati, Pseudomonadota, Gammaproteobacteria, Vibrionales, Vibrionaceae. The record is from Rfam.